GUUCGCGGGGGGCUUGGAACAAGUUACAUAAUGUUUGUUGUUAUAUGAAGUAUCUCGUAUGCAACUGUUUUAUCCAACAUGGAAGCUUUCCAAGGCGCGAAAUUUCCAUCAUUACCGAAUUGUGGAUAAAAUAAAUUGUUUUUUACAAUAAAAACCAAGGUAUUUUGCUUGUUAAUUAUCGACUAUAUUAUUCACUUUGAUAUAAACAGCGUAACAUAAUGUGAAGUACUGAAUAACAUUGGUUAAAUUUUUGUUUUACAAUAUAAAUUGAAAACUGAAAUUCAAGGGUAAAACACCGUUUAUUUAGAUAAAGCGACUUCAAAAAGUAAUACAUAAACCUAGACAGUACUAUGUGAUGUCGAAAGUAUCGAGCAGUCGUAGGGAAAGUGGAGAGAACACAAGCACUCCAGUAGUAAAGAAGAGGUCAAAUAUCAAGCCGACAGCGACAGCUUAUUUACAAGUUUUUGGCAGUGGUGGUGGUGACACUAGCCCAUCGGUGUUUUUAUUUGCUGAUUCACAAAGGUAUGUGUCUUUUAAAUGAGGCGAAGCUACCCGGGUAUCAGAAUA
This is a non-coding RNA of Paramuricea clavata, 567 nucleotides long. Lineage: Eukaryota; Metazoa; Cnidaria; Anthozoa; Malacalcyonacea; Plexauridae. The record is from the annotation of a GenBank genome assembly.